This 483-nucleotide ribosomal RNA is filed under the name uncultured bacterium. Its description in RNAcentral is "partial 16S ribosomal RNA". It matches the Rfam family "Bacterial small subunit ribosomal RNA", at positions 28 to 523 of the family's 1533-position model. The record is from RNAcentral.
GACGAACGCUGGCGGCGUGCUUAACACAUGCAAGUCGAGCGAGGCCCCUCCUUCGGGAGGGUGUCCUAGCGGCGAACGGGUGAGUAACACGUGGGCAACCUGCCCCCGGCUCUGGGAUAACUCCAAGAAAUUGGGGCUAAUACCGGAUAUGACCGCUGACCGCAUGGUCUGGUGGGGGAAAGAUUUAUCGGCUGGGGAUGGGCCCGCGGCCUAUCAGCUUGUUGGUGGGGUAGUGGCCUACCAAGGCGACGACGGGUAGCCGGCCUGAGAGGGUGACCGGCCACAGUGGGACUGCGACACGGCCCAGACUCCUACGGGAGGCAGCAGUGGGGAAUAUUGCGCAAUGGGCGGAAGCCUGACGCAGCGACGCCGCGUGGGGGAUGACGGCCUUCGGGUUGUAAACCUCUUUCAGCAGGGACGAAGCGAAAGUGACGGUACCUGCAGAAGAAGCACCGGCCAACUACGUGCCAGCCGCCGCCGUAA